CUACGGCGCUAUCGACAAGAUGAUCAAUUCGGGAGAGGUUAAAGUCGGUAUGGGAAACCUCUGUUACAGAAGGACUUGGUAUUGAAUGACAGCGCAGUGGGUGGUGUUGGUGCAGCGGACUCCUCCGUCGGCGCCUCUCCCUCCCGCUGCGUCCCUCUCUGGCCCGGCUCAUGCGCGAGCCAUCUCCGCCCGAACGGGAUUUGCUGUGAUAUACAACAUUACUGAUAGUAUUAAUUAAUUAUUAAUGAUAUUUGAAUGAUCCAAUUUAGGUUCAAACUUAUAAAAAAAUAAAUAUAUUUGAAUAUAUUUCUAACUUCAAUUUUUUUUUGACAGCCCUAACACACAUUUACUGCUGAUCUAUUCGCAUGGGAUAAGUAUUACCUGAGGGGGGUGAAGCAGCAGACCAAACUGCAGUAAGCCAGGACUAGGCCUGUGUUCCUCCAUCUAUGUUACUUCCUGUAUGUUUCUGUGUGUUCCUGUUGCAGUGUUCCUCCAUCUAUGUUACUUCCUGUAUGUUUCUGUAUGUUCCUGCUGCAGUGUUCCUCCAUCUAUGUUAAUUCCUGUAAGUUUCUGUAUGUUCCUGUAUGAUCCUUAGCAGAAAGUGUUCCUGUUUGCUCUCCUUUUUUUUUCUCCGUUUUUUUUUUUUUUAUAGUUUCCAAUAAAUCGGACAAAUGUCAAUUU
Molecule: non-coding RNA, 681 nt
Organism: Epinephelus lanceolatus (giant grouper)
Lineage: Eukaryota; Metazoa; Chordata; Actinopteri; Perciformes; Serranidae
Source: RefSeq, a predicted model, not a curated record